RNAcentral lists this ribosomal RNA (460 nucleotides) under uncultured bacterium. RNAcentral's name for it is "partial 16S ribosomal RNA". It matches the Rfam family "Bacterial small subunit ribosomal RNA", at positions 338 to 795 of the family's 1533-position model. The record is from RNAcentral.
CCUACGGGUGGCAGCAGUGAGGAAUAUUGGUCAAUGGCCGGAAGGCUGAACCAGCCAUGCCGCGUGAAGGUCAGUGCCCUAUGGGCGUUAAACUUCUUUUGUGCGGGAGCAAUAAUGGUCACGUGUGGCCAGACGAGAGUACCGUACGAAUAAGCAUCGGCUAACUCCGUGCCAGCGGCCGCGGUAAUACGGGGGAUGCAAGCGUUAUCCGGAGUUAUUGGGUUUAAAGGGUGCGUAGGCUGGGAGGUAAGUCAGCGGGGGAAUGCCCCCGCUCAACGGGGUGAAGUGCCAUUGAUACUGGCUUGCUGGAAUGCGGAUGCGGUGGGAGGAAUGUGUGGUGUAGCGGUGAAAUGCAUAGAUAUCACACAGAACACCGAUUGCGAAGGCAUCUCACGAAUCCGCGAUUGACGCUGAUGCACGAAAGCGUGGGUAUCAAACAGGAUUAGAUACCCUAGUAGUC